RNAcentral lists this ribosomal RNA (466 nucleotides) under uncultured bacterium. Its description in RNAcentral is "partial 16S ribosomal RNA". It matches the Rfam family "Bacterial small subunit ribosomal RNA", at positions 28 to 507 of the family's 1533-position model. The record is from RNAcentral.
GACGAACGCUGGCGGCGUGCUUAACACAUGCAAGUCGAACGAUGACGACCGAGCUUGCUCGGUCUGAUUAGUGGCGAACGGGUGAGUAACACGUGAGCAACCUGCCCUUCACUCUGGGAUAACCUCGGGAAAUCGGGGCUAAUACCGGAUAUGAGCUCCUGUCGCAUGGCGGGUGUUGGUAAGUUUUUCGGUUAAGGAUGGGCUCGCGGCCUAUCCGUUUGUUGGUGAGGUAGUGGCUCACCAAGGCGAGGACGGGUAGCCGGCCUGAGCGGGCGACCGGCCACAGGGGGGAUGGGAGGCGGCCCAGAGGCCUACGGGGGGCAGGGGGGGAGAAUUGUCCACAAAGGGCGAAGGCCGGAAGCAGGGCCGCCGGGUGGGAGAGGACGGCCUUGGGGUGGAAAACCUGUUUCAGGGGGAAGGAAGCAAAGGGACGGGAACUACAAAGAAAGGCACGGCUAACUAAGUG